AAUAUUGGACAAUGGGGGGAACCCUGAUCCAGCCAUGCCGCGUGUGUGAAGAAGGCCNNNUGGUUNUCAAGCACUUUAAGCGGNGAGNAGGCUACUCUAGGUAAUACUUAGAGAUAGUGGCCGUUACUAUCAGAAUAAGCACCGGCUAACUCUGUGCCAGCAGCCGCGGUAAUAAAGAGGGUGCAAGCGUUAAUCGGAUUUACUGGGCGGGAAGAGCGGGUAGUUGGCCAAUUAAGUCAACUGUGAAAACCCCGAGCUUAACUUGGGAAUUGCAGUCGAUACUGGUUGGCUAGAGUAUUGGAGAGGAUGGUAGAAUUCCAGGUGUAGCGGUGAAAUGCGUAGAGAUCAGGAGGAAUACCGAUGGCGAAGGCAGCCAUCUGGCCUAAUACUGACACUGAGGUGCGAAAGCAUGGGGAGCAAACA
RNAcentral lists this ribosomal RNA (423 nucleotides) under uncultured bacterium. RNAcentral's name for it is "partial 16S ribosomal RNA". It matches the Rfam family "Bacterial small subunit ribosomal RNA", at positions 360 to 774 of the family's 1533-position model. The record is from RNAcentral.